GUCUACGGCCAUACCACCCUGAACAAGUCUGAUACCAUCUGAUCUCGGAAGCUAAGCAGGGUUGGGCCUGGUUAGUACUUGGAUGGGAGAACACCUAGGAAGACCAGGUGCUGUAGGCA
RNAcentral lists this ribosomal RNA (119 nucleotides) under Pteropus alecto (black flying fox). Lineage: Eukaryota; Metazoa; Chordata; Mammalia; Chiroptera; Pteropodidae. The record is from RNAcentral.